GACGAACGCUGGCGGCGUGCUUAACACAUGCCAGUCGAACGGUAAGGCCCCAGCUUGCUGGGGUACACGAAUGGCGAACGGGUGAGUAACACGUGGGUGACCUGCCCCGCACUUCGGGAUAAGCCUGGGAAACUGGGUCUAAUACCGGAUAGGACCGCACCGUGAGGGUGUGGUGGAAAGUUUUUCGGUGUGGGAUGGGCCCGCGGCCUAUCAGCUUGUUGGUGGGGUAAUGGCCUGCCAAGGCGGCGACGGGUAGCCGGCCUGAGAGGGUGGACGGCCACAUUGGGACUGAGACACGGCCCAGACUCCUACGGGAGGCAGCAGUGGGGAAUAUUGCACAAUGGGCGGAAGCCUGAUGCAGCGACGCCGCGUGGGGGAUGACGGCCUUCGGGUUGUAAACUCCUUUCACCAUCGACGAAGGUUUUCUGACGGUAGAUGGAGAAGAAGCACCGGCUAACUACGUG
RNAcentral lists this ribosomal RNA (464 nucleotides) under uncultured bacterium. Its description in RNAcentral is "partial 16S ribosomal RNA". It matches the Rfam family "Bacterial small subunit ribosomal RNA", at positions 28 to 507 of the family's 1533-position model. The record is from RNAcentral.